UUGCAGAGUACUUCUUAAGCCGGGUAUUUCACUGGAACCCUAGUUAUCUCGUUCUGAAAAAUUAUGUUAAUCAUAUAAGCUUGAUAUUUGCAUUGUGCCAGGUCCUUAUUUUAGCAAGGCCUGAGGACCAAAGAAAGCCAAAAUUUUUCUUGUUUUCUAAAUUAUGUCCAAACUUUAAUUUUUGCAAUUUUAGCCCAAUUCAAAAUGAUGAUUGCAGUUAUGUUAAAUGAUUAAAAUUGAUUAAAAAAAAUAAUAUUUUAUUACUAAUUAUGAUAAACAAUUUGUUUCCCUCUAUUUACUCUUCCAUUCCUCCUCCCUUUUCCUUUCUCUUGUCCCUACUAAAUCCCUUCUCUCUCUCCCUUUGAGUCCUUGUUUUUCAUUGGAAAAUCAUGCAAUUCUGAAGGGGGAAAAAAGACAAGAAAAAGAAAGAAAAACUGAAGUUUCUGCAAUAUCAGACUUCCUCUCUACCUCUACCCUUGGCCUCCUCUUGCCAGGACAGACCCCAGAAACAUUUUCAGAACAUUGCCGGACACCCACAAUCGUAGAUGCUCAGUUGCUAUUGCCGCCCUCAAACUAAACCAGUUGAAACCCACAUUCAAAGGCUUACAAAUGCAAAAGGAAGUUGUUUGCUGCUAAUCACCGAUGUCAGCUACCACACUGCUGUUGCUGCCAAUGAAAUCAGUUGGUGACACUAAUGACGCCACCACACUCAUCUUGCUUUGAUGUUUCCCUUUAUGCCGUCUAUACUCUAAAAUGCAAUGUCAUUUGGUCUGAUCAAAGCAUCAAAGCUUCAGCUCUUCAACUUUUAGAUCCGUUGUUCUCUCUGUUUUUAGCAAAAUCAACGUGUAGGAGUUAUGCUUGGGGCUUCAUUGAAAUGCUCCCUGAGUCUUGCCAGCAUUGGGUUUGCCUAGAAUUGACGAAGGGAGUUUGUGUUUCUAUCUCUUCCUCUUUAUUUUGUUCUCUCUUCUUUUCUGUCUCAGUGUUAGUGCCUUGCUUCCUUUGAACCUCUAGCUGCCUGCAUUUGGUGAGAAAAAGGGAGAAUGAGAGGGGGCACGAACAGAGGGAGAGAGAAGAGGAAGGGUAGGGAUGAUAGAAAGGGUGGAAGGGGAAAGAGGAAAGAGAAAGGAAAUAUAAAAAUCAUUAAACAUUUCUUCUUAUUAGUACUAAAGAUUAAUUUCUAAUUCAAUUUUGACUACUUGGAUGUGAUUGCAACUACUUUUAAAUGGAGCUAAAAUCACCAAAAGGAAAAGGUUUGGAUGUUUUUGAAGAAACCAGAAAAGGUUCGACCUUUUUUCAGUCAUUUAGCUUUUAACAAAACUUUUCUGCUUCCAAUUUUUCUAUUUUGCAUUAUCUAGUGUUGCACCCCCCGGCCCGCCGCCGCCCCCCCCUAAAGGUAGCUUGUCUAAUUGUCUGAACCUAUGCAAUUCAAUAUACUGAAUGGCUAUAUGAUGUGGUCUUGCUUUUUUCAGGCGGUUGAGGUCUCCA
RNAcentral lists this unclassified non-coding RNA (1485 nucleotides) under Hevea brasiliensis (rubber tree). Lineage: Eukaryota; Viridiplantae; Streptophyta; Magnoliopsida; Malpighiales; Euphorbiaceae. The record is from RNAcentral.